This 473-nucleotide ribosomal RNA is filed under the name uncultured bacterium. RNAcentral describes it as "partial 16S ribosomal RNA". It matches the Rfam family "Bacterial small subunit ribosomal RNA", at positions 28 to 506 of the family's 1533-position model. The record is from RNAcentral.
GAUGAACGCUAGCGGCAGGCCUAACACAUGCAAGUCGAGGGAGGAGCUUUCGGGCUUCGACCGGCGUACGGGUGCGUAACGCGUAUACAAUCUGCCUUUCACAUAGGGAUAGCCCGAAGAACUUUGGAUUAAUACCUCAUGGUAUAUAGAGGUGGCAUCACCUUUAUAUUAAAGCUGAGGCGGUGAAAGAUGAGUAUGCGUUCUAUUAGCUAGUUGGAGAGGUAACGGCUCCCCAAGGCGACGAUAGAUAGGGGUUCUGAGAGGGAUAUCCCCCACACUGGUACUGAGAUACGGACCAGACUCCUACGGGAGGCAGCAGUGAGGAAUAUUGGACAAUGGUCGGAAGACUGAUCCAGCCAUGCCGCGUGCAGGAAGACGGCCUUAUGGGUUGUAAACUGCUUUUGCAGGGGAAGAAUAAGGACUACGCGUAGUUUGAUGACGGUACUCUGCGAAUAAGCAUCGGCUAACUCCGU